This 231-nucleotide long non-coding RNA is filed under the name Capsicum annuum. RNAcentral's name for it is "long non-coding RNA (CANN_LNC011804)". Lineage: Eukaryota; Viridiplantae; Streptophyta; Magnoliopsida; Solanales; Solanaceae. The record is from RNAcentral.
GACUAUGAAAUUGAUGGUUUUCAUGAAAAUAGGUCAAAACAUAGAAAUGAUCCCCAAAUUAGGAAGAAAUUACGUCAAAAGCUUUCUAAGAAGGACAAGAAAAAAAGAAAGUGGUUCUAAGAAAAGAGGACCCAACAGCCCUGCAAGUAAAACUCCCGUCAAGAGAAGAAGAAUUGUCGAAGAAAUUUAUAGAGAUGAGCUUCCUAAGGUAAUUGCAUGUACAGAUUUGUU